Molecule: long non-coding RNA, 5000 nt
Filed under: Sus scrofa (pig)
Lineage: Eukaryota; Metazoa; Chordata; Mammalia; Artiodactyla; Suidae
Description: lncRNA (ENSSSCG00000061852.1)
Source: RNAcentral
AAUGUUCACAGAGCCAGGCAGAAAUGGUUUGAAUUUUUGGUAAGAAAGUUUCCAUUAUCAUCAACUCUGUUAUUGUGGAGUAGUGGAAAAUGGGAAAGAAUCCCUAAACCAGCCAUUACCACACUUUUGUGUGCUUGAAAUAUGUCCGAGGGGGUAUGGGGGUGGGGAGAUGUUAAAAAUUCAAAGUCCUGGGCCCAUUCCAGAGAGUCUAAUUCAGUAGGUCUGGGACAGGGCUUAGGACUCUGCAUUCUUAAUAUGUGAGAUGCUCUAUUACCCCCAAGGAUUCUGAUGUCAGUAAUACCAAAGCAUGUCUUAAAUACCAUUUUCAGCCAUGACAGCAUCACCUAAGUCUUAGGUAGAAAAGCAGUGUUCCAAAUUGGCUAUGAACACUAACUGCACAUAAAAUCAUCUAGGUACAUUUUGAAAAAUACUAAUAGCCUAGACCUCAACUCAAAUCAGUUGAAUUGGAAUUUCUUAAGACUGGGGCUAUGUAUUAGACAUUGCUAUAAUAAUGCUGUAUAACAAACAUCUCAAAACUCAGUGGCUUAAAGCAACAAGCCUUCAUUUCUCACUUACAGGUUUGUUGCUGGACUGGAGCUUGGCUGAACUAAGCUGAGCUCAGCUGGGCAAACGCCCUAGACUACAGGUUGUAUUCAGCUGAGAUUUAUGUAUGUUUCAUACUCCUUAGAUCAGUGGCUACCUGGGGUACUUAUUCUCAUGACCCAUCUCUGGAGUGUGAGGGACAAGCCAAACAAAGUACAUUAAGGCUUCUGCUCAUAUCAUGUCCAGUAGUAGAGACAGCCAAGCCUAAUAUCAACGAGAUGGGAAAAAUACCUUGCUUAAUGGUUUGAAAUAUCACAGGGCUCCAUCCCAGACCAAUCAAACAAAAACUUCUGGAGUGGGGUCUGGGAACUGACAAAGCCCCUAAAAUAUGUGGGUGGAGUUGGGACUCCUCCUUCCAAAGAUGAUUCAGGUCCCAGGCGGUUAACCCUGUGUCAAGGAAUUACAGCCCUAUGCACUUGGAAUACCACAUGAGAAGCAAGCUCCAGGGCAAUAGGAUCCUAAUUAAUGAUAGAGAAAAUAAUAAAAGUCAAGCAAAGUACAUUAUUUUUCCAUGUCACCCUUUCAUGUAUUUAGAUUCUAUCUUGUUCUGCACUGUCAACCCCCAGCUCAUUUGAUCUUUACACUGUUGGUUCCACUGAUCACUGUCCACGUGCCAUACUAUCACAUCCCCUCACCCCAUCUCACUCUUAAGAUGUACUCCAGAUGUUUUUAUGUGCACCUCUUUAAUCUGGGGUUCUCCAGAAUAUCCCUCAGUGCUCUUGCUGUGGCCUUGACUCAAGAACAAUCUAAUCAGACCCCUUGCCUUGAGACCAAAUUCCUGUUAACUCAGCCCAAUUAAAACCACCAGGGAGGAAAUGGCACCUGCUCACCCAGGUCAGUGGCAGUGGCCCUGGCUCAAUAUCAAGAUCAGCUUCUCAGCCUGUUGCCCUCCCUUUGGGGUCUAUUCCCAGCUCUGCCUCCAACUCCCUCAGUUUCCUUGGAUGAGUCGCCUCGUCUCUAGGUCCCAGUUUUCUCAUCUGGAAGAAGGAUUCUGGAGACACCCAUGCCCUUCUGCUCUGCCUUUGGUGAGUUCGUGUUAUGGGGGCCCGAGAAUGGUCCACAGAGGAGCUCUGUUAUAGUCAGGGGGGCUUGAAGAAAGCCCAGACACUAACCUGGAGUUAUUUCUCAGCAGCUCACUUGUGAAAGGCUCAGGUGAAGGCUGUGCGGCUCCAGAAAAGGUAAUUGCUUUGUUGCUGUUAACAGCACAAGCCACUAACCACAUCCUCUCUCCUGCACAGUGACUGGGCUCCCAGUAAGGAGGCUCCCAGUAAGGAAUCUCCCAGUAAGGAAGAGCUUUUAUCACAGCUGGGAACAGAGCCAUCUAGGACGCAGUUCCUGAGACAAUGAGCCCACCUGAUGCAGUAUCAGGGGAGCUCACAGGCCGCACUCCUUUUGGCAGUAAAGCUCUGGCUUUGUAGACAUUCUCCCUGCUCACUGCUUUCCUCUUGCCCCUGCAUCUGAAUCCUUGGGAUGGUGAUGUGGAGAUUAUUCAUCCAACUUCCCUUCACCAAGUCCCUUUGUGGCCUGGCCCCGCCUCCCCCUCUGUGCUUGUCUCUUUCUCUCUCCCCCUUCUUUACCAUAUACCUGUCACAUCAGCCUCUUAGACAUUCCCAAAACACACUAACUUCUUUCCCUCUUACUAGCCGGACUCCAGGAGCCACAAUCACACCCUCAGGAAAGUGUCUGCUCCUACACCAGCAUCUUAUCCCAAUGGCCUAUGUUCUUUCUCCAAUAUCAGCACCAUGCCUUCCUCUCCAAGCAUGGACCGAGAGCGAUUCUCAGCCCCCUUUCCACAGAAUCCAUGUAUCAGCCUUCAAUAAAAAAAGAGAGAGAGAGGUAAGAGAAACCCAAAAGAUUUAUUUCUUUCAUACUUCACGUUAAAAAUUUGGAACAGCACAGUACAUGGAUGCACGAUGGGUCUCAGUUUAGACAAACUUACUAGAUUUAGGAGUCUUAUUUUCUCUUCAGGAGCUGUACAGAGGGUUAAAUAGUAUAUGAUUCAUAAGUUUUACAUUCAUUAGUAUCAUUUCUAUGCUGCCAAAUGCAUAAUUCUGACUCACAGUUCCCACUGAACCUAUAAGCAAGAGGAUUUAUUUUACUGUUUUAUUCAUUGAUUUUCCUUCCCUUUUCAGUGUUUCCUUAAGGCUGUGUCAUGGGCAAAAUUUCACCUGUGAUUAGAUGUGGGAUUAACAGUGAUGGGAGCUGGGAAUCUGAGUACCAGUCUCUGAUUGGCUGGUACUUACACUUGGGUAGGAUGAGGAUGUUUUUCAGGAGGGGUAUGGUCCCAGCCAAAAUUCUCUAACCAGGACAGAGAAGCCUUACUUUCUAGAAAAAGUCAAAGUUCUGAUAACAAUGUCUAAACCUUAACACCAGGGUAUUAAGAAACUCCUCCCUAAUAUUUCAUAUUUUUGGCAGCUUGGACAAAAGAAUGUAUUUUUCUUUUAAUCUGACAUUCCCCAAAUUCAUAAAUAGCCCCCAUCAUGAAUAGGCUGUUCAUAGAAAAGGCAUACAAAAAAUAUUCACUCUCACAUAUGAUGAAAUAAUUUGCAUUUAAAACAACAAAAUGGAAAUUUUUUUACCUAGCAGAUGGCACAAUGCUAUUUUAGUAGGUGUGGAAAAAUUUUGAUGGGAGAGUACAUUUGCAUAGCUCUUUGGCAAUGGACACCAAAACAGAAAGUGUAUAUGAUGCCUGAUUUAGCAAUUCCGCUCCUGGGAGUCUCCCAGAGCCAUAGUGGCCCAUGUAGAGGAACAUUGCUGGAGAAAAUCCCAUGCCUAUGCAGACUGGAUUCACCUUGAAUUUAAUCUCAAGUGUGGAGAAAAGGGAGUCCUCCUACACUGUUAGUGGAAACGUAUAUUGGAGCAACCACCACGGAGAACAGUAUGGAGAGUCCUCAAAAAACUAAAAAGAGAGCUACCACAUGAUCCAGCAAUUCUACUCUUGGGCAUACAUCUGGAAAACAGGAAAACUCUAAUUUGAAAAGAUAUGUGCACCCCAAUGUUCAUAGCAGCAAUAUUUAUAAUAGCCAAGACAUGGAUGUAUACUAAGAGUCCAUUGACAGAGGACUAAAGAUAUGGUACAUAUAUAUAAUGGAAUAUUAUUCAACCAUAAAAAAGAAAGAAAUAAUGCCAUUUAUAGCAACAUAGACGUACCUAGAGAUUAUCAUAAUAAGUAAAGUCAGACAGGAAAAGAAAAAUACCAUAUGACAUCACUUAUUGUGAAACCUAAACUAUGACACAAAUGAACUUAUCUGUGAAACAGAAACAGACUCACUGACAUAGAAAACAAACUUAUGGUUACCAAGAGGAAAGGGAGGGAGGAGGGAUAAAAUAGCAGAAUGGGAUUAAUAGAUAUACACAACUAUGUAUAAAUAGAUAACCAACAAGGACCUACUAUAUGGCACAGGGAACUAUAUUAAAUAUCUUUUAAUAACCUAUAAUGGGAGUUCCUGUUGUGGCUUAGCAGUAAUGAACCUGACUAGUAUCCAUGAGGAUGUGGGUUUGAUCCCUGGCCCCACUCAAUGGGUUAAUGAUCCAGCAUUGCCCUGAGCUGUGGUGUAGGUCUCAAUAAAAAAUAAAUAAAUAUAUAUAUAUAUAUAUAUGAUAUACACACAUAUCCCAUAAUGAAAAAGAAUCUGAAAAAGAAUAUAUAUGUAUAUAUGUGUACAUAGGCAUCUGAAAAGAAUAUAUAUAUAAUCACUUUGCUGUACACCUGAAAAUAUGAUAUUGUAAAUCAUCUAUUAUUCAAUUUAAAAGUAAAAAUAAUAAUAUUAAUUUUACCUCAAAUCUUAAAUAUGCACCCCAACCCUGCUUAGGAAUUCCACAAUGCUUUCUUAAUCAAAUGACUUUCUGCUCUUCUAUAUAGCCACAUCAUAGAAAUUUAGGGCCCCUCACUCCCUAAAUCUCUAACUUCUUUGAGCUGGAGACCCCGCCUCAGUCUUCAUGGAGAAAGUGAUGCAGAUACACACUCUUCCCCAUUAAAAAAUUGUGGUGUGUCGUUCUACCACGGGGAGGGAAGAUAGCAUAAGAGGUGAAUGGGUUUAAAUACCGCAUGUCAGCAUAAGACUUUGGUCAAGUCAUAUGAACUCCCUGAAAUUCAGUUUCCUCAUCUAUAUAACCAAAAUCUUAGUCAGGGCCAUGGACAAAAGAGAAGAAUCAAGAAUGACUCCUUCGAGUUCCCGUCAUGGCGCAGAAGGAACGAAUCCGACUAGGAACUAUGAGCUUGUGGGUUCAAUCCCUGGCCUUGCUCAGUGGGUUAAGGAUCUGGCAUUGUUGUGAGCUGUGGUGUAGGUCUCAGAUGCAGCUUGGAUCUGGCAUUGCUAUGGCUCUGGUGUAGUCUGGUGGCUACAGCUCCAAUUAGACCCCUAGCCUGGGAACCUCCAUAUGCCAUGGGUGCAGCC